CUCAUAUAGACAUGUACGGACUUCCAGUUAUGACAUUUCAUAUGAUUUUCGUUUUGUUUUGCAGGCCAGAUCAAUCUCUGAAAAUGCCGGUGGCUUUUGAAAACAGCCAGGUAAUUUAUUCCAUGAUCACCAUCAGCGCGUUUGUAGGGAACGGUCUUGUUAUAUAUGUCCUCGUCUAUCGUUACAAGUCCAUACUCAAGAAACCUUACAGUAUCUUCAUUUUGAACCUGGCUAUCGUCGACUGCCUCACGGCAAUAUCUCUGUUCUUCAGGUAAGUAUUUGCAUUAUUGUUUAGCAGUUUCUAUAUCAUGCAUGGUAAUUUUGAUUCAGUGGCGGACACUUUGCCACUAUUGUCUGCUGCUACCACCUCACAUCUCAUCUCUUCAUUCGAUAAUGCCUCUGACCAGCUCUCCUUCAUCUCAUCUUAUCAAGUAUCAUCACCAUCUCAGCCUUGCUUCCCUCACCUUCUCUACAAUGUCUCCACCCCACAUCUUCUUCUGAUCUCUUCAUUCGAUAAUGCCUUUGACCAGCUCUCCUUCAUCUCAUCUUAUCAAGUAUCAUCACCAUCUCAGCCUUGCUUUCUUCACCUACACCCGUAAAAAUCUCACAUCUUGUAACAAGUCUGCCAGCAAGCAGUCGACAAGAUGUAUUCGCACUGCUUGUCACAAGUUGUCAACAGGUUUGGAACAACUUGUUGACAACUUGUAACAACCUUGUCGAAAUUAUCAGACUUGUUGCAAGGUUGUUCUGACAAGUCUGUUACAUGCUUGAUAUAACAAGAUUGUUACAACCUUGUGUCGUCAACCUUGUAACAUCCUUGUUAUAUCAUGGCU
This is a non-coding RNA of Paramuricea clavata, 833 nucleotides long. NCBI's taxonomy places the organism in Eukaryota, Metazoa, Cnidaria, Anthozoa, Malacalcyonacea, Plexauridae. The record is from the annotation of a GenBank genome assembly.